Adelges cooleyi (spruce gall adelgid) is the source of this 595-nucleotide long non-coding RNA. RefSeq lists it as uncharacterized. The record is from RefSeq and is a predicted model, not a curated record. The transcript has 2 exons. Lineage: Eukaryota; Metazoa; Arthropoda; Insecta; Hemiptera; Adelgidae.
UGUAUUAAAAUAUAUCCAUGACUCGGGAGAAACCUACACAAUAUAAAUAGGCUUAGGUACGGCCGGCAAGUCAUUCGAAGUAAAUACAGUUAUUAUUACUAUUGUAAAGUCGUUUCUCACACCGUUCCGUCGCCAUGAAUUCUUCUAAGUACGCGGUUUUGGUUUGUUUUUUGGUUUUGGCGUUCGCUUUCAACGGCGUGAAUGCUUAUUGUAACCCGGAUGAUUGUUGGGGUCUAUGCCGAGGCCAGUACAGUGGGGUGGUGUUCGGAGAAACUCGAGGAGUAUGCGAAUCUUCGAACAAUGACUAUUGUCGGUGUUACGGUAAACCCGUACAUCCACAAUUUUUCUAUCCCAUAGGUCCCGAGCGAACACUCAAUUGAAAAUGCUCAAGACAUCGUCUUAAACAUCUACAUCAGUUCAACGAUAAAACUUCAAAAAUAAUGUCAAAAUUUCAAAACAUUGCAAAGUAGUAACUCUUUUGUAAUACUAUUUAUGUUAGCUUUUAUGUGUUUUACAUUAAAGGCAACUAAAUAAAUGUAUGUGUAGAUAACAAAUAUAGAUUUUUACAAUAAACUUAAAAUAUUAUAACUGAAAA